Molecule: ribosomal RNA, 301 nt
Filed under: uncultured bacterium
Lineage: Bacteria
Description: partial 16S ribosomal RNA
Rfam family: Bacterial small subunit ribosomal RNA
Source: RNAcentral
CAGCAGCCGCGGUAAUACGAAGGGGGCUAGCGUUGCUCGGAAUGACUGUGCGUAAAGAGCGCGUAGGCGGCGGCCAAAGUCAGGCGUGAAAUUCCUGGGCUCAACCUGGGGGCUGCGUUUGAUACUUGGUUGCUUGAGUGGGGAAGAGGGUCGUGGAAUUCCCAGUGUAGAGGUGAAAUUCGUAGAUAUUGGGAAGAACACCGGUGGCGAAGGCGGCGACCUGGUCCUUUACUGACGCUGAGGCGCGAAAGCGUGGGGAGCAAACAGGAUUAGAUACCCCUGUAGUCCCUGUCUCUUAUAC